UAACAGAGGGUGCGAGCGUUUAAUCGGAAUUACUGGGCGUAAAGGGCGCGUAGGCGGUCUAUCAAGUGAGAUGUGAAAUCCCCGGGCUUAACCUGGGAACUGCAUCUUAAACUGAUAGGCUGGAGUACUGUAGAGGUAGUGGAAUUUCCGGUGUAGCGGUGAAAUGCGUAGAGAUCGGAAGGAACAUCAGUGGCGAAGGC
Molecule: ribosomal RNA, 200 nt
Filed under: uncultured bacterium
Lineage: Bacteria
Description: partial 16S ribosomal RNA
Rfam family: Bacterial small subunit ribosomal RNA
Source: RNAcentral